AUCGUUGCCCAAUGCCUGUCACACCGUGAUAGGAAAUUCCAGGGCGAAAGUUGGCUUCCCGUGAGCGUUGUUGCCUCGCGGUUGGUUGAAAAUCGAGACCUUGGUAGGGUGUGCCAUGAUAGAUGGUGGUCGAGUUAGCACGAGACCCAAUCAUGUGCGGGCUCCCCAAUAUAUGGCCUCUGUGACCCACACGCGUCUUUUUGGCGCUCA
Molecule: unclassified non-coding RNA, 210 nt
Filed under: Clianthus puniceus
Lineage: Eukaryota; Viridiplantae; Streptophyta; Magnoliopsida; Fabales; Fabaceae
Source: RNAcentral